Long non-coding RNA from Trachemys scripta elegans, 834 nucleotides. RefSeq lists it as uncharacterized. The transcript is spliced from 3 exons. NCBI's taxonomy places the organism in Eukaryota, Metazoa, Chordata, Testudines, Emydidae. The record is from RefSeq and is a predicted model, not a curated record.
CCUCUGGGACACGGGGCAUUGGCCACUGUCGGUAGACAGGAUACUGGGCUAGAUGGUCUGACCCAGACCAGAUGGUCUGACCCUUUGGUCUGACCCAGUACGGUCAUUCUUAUGUUCUUAUAUUCUUAUAUACUCUACAGUGCCAUGCCUCCUCUAAUCAGCAGCUAGCACACCGCAGGACUGACUUGUGGAUAGAACACUUCAGUUUUCAGAGCUCUUAAUUGGCCUCCUUUUGUGAAUUUACUUUAAAGAUGUGAAAUUCUUGUUAUUUUUCUUCUAACAUGAAAAGAAGCAAUGCCAUUCUCUUUACAUGCUGUUCUUUAUGAAAGAUGGACAACCGGUUUCAGAUAAAAUAAGAGCAAAGCCAGAGCCAAGAUGCAGUCAGUUGCGCCACAACGCUAGAGAUGAAGACCCUGGUGUUUGCCCCAGAAGCAGAGAAGCAGAGAAGAAACAAUGUGUUGUCUCAACUCCUGGCUGUAGUCAGUGACAGAUCCUGGGACUGGACAUUUCUGAUUGGAAAUUCUGUACAGAAUGAUGUUUUGUUUAAAGGUGAACCUUGCUCAAGGAUGACUUGAGGGAUUGAUAAUGGGAGACAGACAUUCCACUCUAGGUUACCUGUCCCAAUAUAGCUCGUCUGGGUAAGUGACCAAGCAAUUCUCCCCUGAAGCCUGUCUGGUGGUUGAUGUGAAAUGCGUUGGGUAUAUCAGUCAUCAGGUACUCAAAGCACCCCUGCUUCCUCAGAAAAAGGUCACUAUUUCAAUUAAUUGGCACCAGGGCCAGCAGAAAGGCAAUGAUGAAAUGGGCAUGGAGAUUGAACAGCGCUCUCACACUUAA